This 21-nucleotide microRNA is filed under the name Ornithorhynchus anatinus (platypus). Its description in RNAcentral is "oan-miR-7415-3p". The record is from miRBase by way of RNAcentral. Lineage: Eukaryota; Metazoa; Chordata; Mammalia; Monotremata; Ornithorhynchidae.
UAUCUGAGGAGAAGGAGUCUU